GACGAACGCUGGCGGCGUGCCUAAUACAUGCAAGUCGAACGCUUCUUUCCUCCCGAGUGCUUGCACUCAAUUGGAAAGAGGAGUGGCGGACGGGUGAGUAACACGUGGGUAACCUACCCAUCAGAGGGGGAUAACACUUGGAAACAGGUGCUAAUACCGCAUAACAGUUUAUGCCGCAUGGCAUAAGAGUGAAAGGCGCUUUCGGGUGUCGUUGAUGGAUGGACCCGCGGUGCAUUAGCUAGUUGGUGAGGUAACGGCUCACCAAGGCCACGAUGCAUAGCCGACCUGAGAGGGUGAUCGGCCACACUGGGACUGAGACACGGCCCAGACUCCUACGGGAGGUAGCAGUAGGGAAUCUUCGGCAAUGGACGAAAGUCUGACCGAGCAACGCCGCGUGAGUGAAGAAGGUUUUCGGAUCGUAAAACUCUGUUGUUAGAGAAGAACAAGGACGUUAGUAACUGAACGUCCCCUGACGGUAUCUAACCAGAAAGCCACGGCUAACUACGUG
Molecule: ribosomal RNA, 508 nt
Filed under: uncultured bacterium
Lineage: Bacteria
Description: partial 16S ribosomal RNA
Rfam family: Bacterial small subunit ribosomal RNA
Source: RNAcentral